AUUGAACGCUGGCGGCAGGCCUAACACAUGCAAGUCGAGCGAGCGGCGGACGGGCGAGUAAUGUCUGGGAAACUGCCUGAUGGAGGGGGAUAACUACUGGAAACGGUAUCUAAUACCGCAUACCAUCAGAUGUGCCCAUAUGGGAGUAGCUAGUAGGUGGGGUAAUGGCUCACCUAGGCGACGAUCCCUAGCUGGUCUGAGAGGAUGACCAGCCACACUGGAACUGAGACACGGUCCAGACUCCUACGGGAGGCAGCAGUGGGGAAUAUUGCACAAUGGGCGCAAGCCUGAUGCAGCCAUGCCGCGUGUAUGAAGAAGGCCUUCGGGUUGUAAAGUACUUUCAGCGGGGAGGCGUUACCCGCAGAAGAAGCACCGGCUAACUCCGUGCCAGCCGCCGCGGUAAUUC
This 406-nucleotide ribosomal RNA is filed under the name uncultured bacterium. Its description in RNAcentral is "partial 16S ribosomal RNA". It matches the Rfam family "Bacterial small subunit ribosomal RNA", at positions 30 to 526 of the family's 1533-position model. The record is from RNAcentral.